Long non-coding RNA from Alexandromys fortis (reed vole), 1450 nucleotides. RefSeq lists it as uncharacterized. The record is from RefSeq and is a predicted model, not a curated record. The transcript is spliced from 2 exons. NCBI's taxonomy places the organism in Eukaryota, Metazoa, Chordata, Mammalia, Rodentia, Cricetidae.
GGUGAAGAUCUCAGGAGUGAGAUUAAAAAUGAAUGAGGAGAGUUGGAGUAGUUUGUCUAAGGUGGGAUUGAGAGAGACUAGAUGGGGGAGGUUUAACAAAAGGCAUUGAUGUUUUAAAUGCACAGAAAUGCCACCCAUCAAUAAUAAAUGGUGUGGCAUUGAACAGAUGUGCCAAAUUGAGUUAUUACUGUGUGUGGAUCAGUUAGUGGAGGGGAAGCAAACAGCACAGCCGGUGUUUUACAGCGUAGUGAAAACCUCUGUACAAACGUAAAUGCCCAUUUUAGGCCCUUGAUGGCUGCUAAAUGGAAAUUUUUAAAGUUUGGAAUUUGUAAAACAUUCCAAUGAAUUUUUGUAUAUUUCUGAAGUAUGAAUUAUUACUAUGGACGCAUGAGUUUGCUUUUCUGGAAAGGUAGAUAUCUGGAACGGAGUUCAUGCUGCUCACGGCCGAGUGCUCGCUUGUCGAGAGCUUGUGUUGCAGUCGUCCUGAGGACAUUGCACUUCAAAACUCGAGUCGUGUGCAACUGUUACCCAGAGUUUCUCUACAUCUAGGUCCCUGCUCUGUACACUUACAUACAGAGGCCCUCUCAGGAACCCUUUCUCGUGCUUUGAGAUUGUCUCAUCUGUUGAAAUAGGAGCAGCGGGGCUGCGUCCCCAACACCCCAGCCGCUUGGCUAGCUCAUGCCCGAAAUAACAACACACAAACUGUAUUCAUUUAAGAACUGCUUGGCCCGGCUAGUUCCAGAUUCUUAUUGGCUAGCUCUUACAUAUUGUUCUAACCCAUUUCUAAUAAUGUGUGUAAGCACCCCAAGGUGCGCUUACCUGGAAGAUUCUAGCCUACUCGGAGGAGCUUCAUUGCGUGCAUCUGCCCGGGAGAGCUGAGCAUGGCGCUGAGCAGUCUGACCUCACUUCCUCUUCCGCCCAGCAUCCUAUUCUGUUUCCUCCUCCCAUCUAUUAACCUAUCAGGGCCAGCAGUUUCUUUAUUGCUCAGCCAAUGAAAUCAACAGAUUGAUAUGACACUCCCACAUCACUCAUCCCCCUCUGCAUGUGGAUUCAACAGAUAGUUCUACACACAUCCCCAAGAAAGAAAUAUUACAGUUUAUCAGAGAGGAAGUCAACUUCAAACAAUGAGUAAGCAAAAAUCUGUAAAGUAGAGGAGAAUAUUUAACAGGUAGAAAACACCAGUUUCCCAUGUGUCUGCAUAGCACAGUGUGUAAGGUGUUUGUGUAAGUAAGUCCUGCAUUGCAGAGUGUGUAAGGUGUUACAGUGAGUCCUGCACAGCAGUGUGUAAGGUGUUAGUGAGUUCUGCAUUGCAGAGUGUGUGUUAGUGAGUUCUGCAUUGCAGGACUGGAAUUGCUGUGCACAAUGACAAAAAAAAAAAAAAAAAAAAAAAAAAAAAAAAAAAAAAAAAAAAAAAAAAAAAAAAAAAAAAAAAAAAAAAAAAAAGAUUAAA